Molecule: ribosomal RNA, 540 nt
Filed under: Triticum aestivum (bread wheat)
Lineage: Eukaryota; Viridiplantae; Streptophyta; Magnoliopsida; Poales; Poaceae
Description: partial small subunit ribosomal RNA
Source: RNAcentral
CCGCUUCCCAGGAUCAACGACCUGUAUGAUCAGCUCGCUGGAUCCUCAGUCUUCUCCAAGAUGGAUUUAAGGUUAGGCUACCAUCAAAUCAAGAUCAGAAACGGGGACAUUCCCAAGACAGCUUUUGUCACUCGUUAUGGCCAGUACGAGUACACCGUCAUGUCCUUUGGCCUAACCAACGCCCCAGCCACAUUUUCCCGCCUGAUGAACUCGAUUUUCAUGGAGUACUUAGAUAAGUUUGUCGUGGUUUACCUCGAUGAUAUUCUUAUUUACUCGAAGAACGAGGAAGAGCAUGCCGAACAUCUUAGACUUGUUUUAGAAAAACUCAGAGAACACCGCCUUUAUGCCAAGUUCUCCAAGUGUGAAUUUUGGUUGCCAGAAGUGACCUAUCUAGGCAACGUAAUCUCUGGUAAGGGCAUUGCUGUCAAUCCCGAGAGAGUUCAAGCCGUUCUCGAUUGGACUCCACCUGAGACCGUGAAACAAGUUAGGAGUUUCCUUGGUCUAGCCAGCUAUUGUCGCCGCUUUGUUGAAAACUUCUCC